Molecule: ribosomal RNA, 695 nt
Filed under: uncultured Staphylococcus sp.
Lineage: Bacteria; Bacillati; Bacillota; Bacilli; Caryophanales; Staphylococcaceae
Description: bacterial SSU rRNA
Rfam family: Bacterial small subunit ribosomal RNA
Source: RNAcentral
AGUCGAGCGAACGGACGAGAAGCUUGCUUCUCUGAUGUUAGCGGCGGACGGGUGAGUAACACGUGGAUAACCUACCUAUAAGACUGGGAUAACUUCGGGAAACCGGAGCUAAUACCGGAUAACAUUUGGAACCGCAUGGUUCAAAAGUGAAAGACGGUCUUGCUGUCGCUUAUAGAUGGAUCCGCGCUGCAUUAGCUAGUUGGUAAGGUAACGGCUUACCAAGGCAACGAUGCAUAGCCGACCUGAGAGGGUGAUCGGCCACACUGGAACUGAGACACGGUCCAGACUCCUACGGGAGGCAGCAGUAGGGAAUCUUCCGCAAUGGGCGAAAGCCUGACGGAGCAACGCCGCGUGAGUGAUGAAGGUCUUCGGAUCGUAAAACUCUGUUAUUAGGGAAGAACAAAUGUGUAAGUAACUGUGCACGUCUUGACGGUACCUAAUCAGAAAGCCACGGCUAACUACGUGCCAGCAGCCGCGGUAAUACGUAGGUGGCAAGCGUUAUCCGGAAUUAUUGGGCGUAAAGCGCGCGUAGGCGGUUUCUUAAGUCUGAUGUGAAAGCCCACGGCUCAACCGUGGAGGGUCAUUGGAAACUGGGAAACUCGAGUGCAGAAGAGGAAAGUGGAAUUCCAUGUGUAGCGGUGAAAUGCGCCAGAGAUAUGGAGGAACACCAGUGGCGAAGGCGACUUUCUGGUCUG